Amphimedon queenslandica is the source of this 786-nucleotide long non-coding RNA. RefSeq lists it as uncharacterized. NCBI's taxonomy places the organism in Eukaryota, Metazoa, Porifera, Demospongiae, Haplosclerida, Niphatidae. The record is from RefSeq and is a predicted model, not a curated record. The transcript is spliced from 3 exons.
UUGCCCUCGCCCACGCCGUAGGCGUAUAGGCGAGGGUACUGCGCUCGUCGUGUCAGUGUGUGUGUGUGUGUUCGCAAUAUGGCGUCUUUUUCUCUGUUUUCAAAUCCUUGCUGCUCUUUGCUCAGGUCCUGUGGAGUCCCACUGUCAACUAAAAUAAUUGCCAAAAGUAGUUUUUCUUCAGUUUACUUCUUCAUCUGUCUAUGAGCCAGUAAUGUUGCUAAACGUAGUCAGGAUUCCGGGUAACUCUCUCAUGACGAAGGAAAUUUGUCUUAAAUUCUUAAUUUCUGAGAUAUGGUAGCUCAAACAUCGCUUACCGCGACUGUUUACACGAGGUCCUGUUCUCCAGGAAGAUCUGUCAGAGUCUUUUAAACUGUAGAUUCUUACUAUCAAGUUUGUAUACAACAAAUAGAGCCUGAUUAUUGUGUCAUAAACUGUGUAUAAGUGUAGAAAACUGAAGCUUUUUACCAGUAACUGUCCAUUGUGUGUAACUAUGAAGUAGGCGGUGCUUAAUUUGAGCCACACCUUUAAUUGCUGCAGCAAGCAAUGCAAGGCUGAGCAAGCUAAUGUGUACAGUAACAUAUCCCAGAAAUCACGUGACUGUAGAACGCUGAAUUGUAAUAAAUGUAAUGUGUGCCUAGACUUAAUUAUUGGUUGUAUGUCUUGUCUGUAAUAGAUCCCUUCUUAAUAAUUUGUGUUAAUGUGAAACUAUUUCAUAAUUUGUGUCAUAGUAUAUAAAUGUUUGAUUCUGUUGUUUUGAUUGAUCUUUUGAUUGUUAAUAAUCGUAUC